AUUUUAUAAUUAAAAAGGGUGUUAGAUGGAUAUUUGGAUACUUUAAAAGAGACGAAGAAAGACGUUGUAAUGGUUAAAACUCGAAAAACUUUAAUAAUAUUAAAUAUAAUGAUUUAAAGAUUUCUGAAUAAAAUUAAUUUUAUAUAUUUACUAAAAGUAAAGGUCACACCUGAGGAACUGAAACAUCUUAGUACUCAGAGAUAAAUUAAAGUAACAACGAUUUUCUGAGUAACUGCGAGUGAAAAGAAAUAAAAAAUAUAAAAAAAUAUUUUAAGUUAAAGUAAUUUAAAAUUCAAAUUUGAAUGAAAAUACUAUAGAGAAUCUCCUCUUUAUAUACUUUAAAUACUACAAGUAUCGAUAGUGGACAAAGUACCGUGAGGGAAAUAAUGAAAAGAACCCCGGGAGGGGAGUGAAAAGAGUUUGAAAUCUAACAUCUAUAAGCAUUAAAAAAAUUAGUAAAUAGAAUUUUAUUAAGUGCCUGUUGAAGAAUGAACUUACGAGUUAUAUUAGAGUAGGCUAUUGAUUAAAUAUUUUACAUUUAUGUAGUCAAAGUUAAAGCAAGCUUGAAUUUUAAAAAGCAUAUAUUAAAAGUCUCCUAAUAUAUACCCGAUGCCGGAUGAUCUAAUUAUAUUUAAGAUAAGCAUACUUAUAUAUAAUUGUAUGUUUUAGUCUGUAUUGGUUAAUAUUGCAAAAUUAUCAAAUGAAAUAUAAUUAGUGGUGAAAUACCUAUCGAAUUCGGAGCUAGCUGGUUCUCUCCGAAAUGUGUUUAGGCACAGCUAUAAUUUUUGUAAAAAAUGAGGGUAAGAAUAAAAAUUUUUAUAAUUUUAUUUCUAUAAUAUCAUUUUAAAAAGUAAAUAAGUUAGACUUUAGUGUGGGUAAUCUUUAAAGUCAAGAGGGAAACAACCCGUAAUCAUAAAAUAAGGUCCUUAAAUAUUUAGUAAGUUUAAAGGAAGUUUAUAUACUAAGACAAAUAAAAAUUAAGCUUAGAAGCAGCUAUAUUUUAAAGAGUGCGUAAUAGCUCAUUAUUAUAGUAUGUUUGCACCGAUAAUUAGAAAGGGAUAAAUAUAUUACCGAAGUUAUGAAUAAUAUAUAUAUAUAUAUACUGGUAGGAGAGCGUCUUGUAUAGGGUUAAAGUUAUGUUGUAAGAAAUAAUGAACUAAACAAGAGUGAUUAUGUAAGUUUAAGUAAUUUUACAUAUUGAUACUAAAUUAAUACCCUGAAUAUUAAAAGGGUUCCUAUUUACAGAAAAACUAAAUGGGGUUAGUCGGGGCCUAAGGUGAGAUUAUAUGUGUAGUCGAUGGGUAUUAAGUUAAUAUUCUUAAACCUUAAUUAUAUAACUAAAAAUUUUUUAUAAAAAAUUUUUAGUAAAAAUAUAAGUAAGCCCGUACCUAAACUGACACAAGCAAAUAGGUAGACUUUAUACUAAAGGGUAAGAGACUUCUUUUUAAGGAACUAGGCAAAUUGAUUCUGUAACUUAGGGACAAAGAAUAUCCUAAUUGGGAUAUAGAAAGUGACUCAAACGACUGUUUAUCAAAAACAUAGGUUCUCGCUAAAUUUAAAAAUAAUGUAAGAGAGCUGACGUCUGCCCAGUGUUGAUGCAUAAAAAUGUAAUAAUUACUAUUAAUUAUCAGUAAACGGCGGCUGUAACUAUAACGGUCCUAAGGUAGCGAAAUUCCUUGUCGGGUAAGUUCCGACCCGCACGAAAGACGUAACGAUUUGAGUGCUGUCUUAAAAAGAAUCUUAAUGAAAUAGAAUUGUCCGUGAAGAUGCGGACUGCCCGUACUAGGACAGAAAGACCCUACGAAGCUUUACUGUAGUUUUAUAUUAAAUUUUAUAAUUAUAUGUAUAGGGAUGUGGGAUGACCUUUUUAUAGUUUUAUCAAUGAAAAACCACUCUUAUAAUCUAUAAAUUUUAACGAAUUUUUAACAAAAAUUCGUACAGUUUAAAAGAGACAGUUUGACUGGGGCGGUGACCUCUUAAAUAGUAACGGAGGUGUACAAAGGUUUUAAUAAAGAUAAAAAUUUUAUAAAGCUUGAUUGUUAGAUUUAUUAAUCAAACAAGGAUGAAAAUCGGUUUUAGUGAUCCGACUUUUUAUGUGAUACUAAAGUCGCUUAACAGAUAAAAGUUACUCUAGGGAUAACAGGCUUAUCUUCCCCGAGAGUCCCUAUCGACGGGAAGGUUUGGCACCUCGAUGUCGGCUCAUCACAACCUAAGGCAGUAGUUUGUCUUAAGGGUUAGUCUGUUCGCCUAUUAAAAGUGGUACGUGAGCUGGGUUCAGAACGUCGCAAGACAGUUCGGUCCAUAUCCAGUAUGGGUAUUUAGAAUUGUGAGAAGUAUUUUUUUUAGUACGAAAGGAUCAAAAAAAUCAAAUCAAUGGUAGGCCAAUUAUUUUUAAGUAUUGUUGGGUAGCUAAAUUUGAAAAAUAAACUGCUGAUAGCUUAUAAGUAGGAAAUUUUAUUUAUAACAAUUCUUUUCUAUGUAAAUUAGAAUAAGAAUAUAAUAAGAUUAAUUAUUAUAUAAUAUGUUAAUGUAAGUGUAGUAAUACAUUAAGUUUAAAAUUAUUAAUAAUUUUCGAAUGAAUUAU
This 2584-nucleotide ribosomal RNA is filed under the name Hepatozoon canis. Its description in RNAcentral is "large subunit ribosomal RNA". It matches the Rfam family "Bacterial large subunit ribosomal RNA". The record is from RNAcentral. Lineage: Eukaryota; Apicomplexa; Hepatozoidae.